AUUUGCUGGUGUGGACCUCUUUGGGUCCUUGUUUGGGACUCUCUGCACUUCCUGGACCUGGACGUCUGUUUCUUUCCCCAGGUAUGUCAGUUAUAUUUCCUGAUCUUGGAGAACUGGCCUAAUGUAGGAGACGUCCCAUGGGGCCCAGCAGCACUCUCCCUUCUGGUCACAGAGCUAUGCUCCAGGGGUGCUCCCUAUGUUGGCUGCAUGGACCCUUCUGUUGUGGUAGGGCUGAUUACUGUGGGCCUGCUGCUUCUGUGGAUCAUCAGUCUGCACACAACUGAGAUGGAUUCUUUGCUCAGGAGCUCACAAGGGUGUGAUCGAGGUGUUGACUGGGCUGUGUUUUCCUCUGGAGACCUGACUGGGGAAGAUCCACUUUUCCAAGCCUUUUCAGGCUUCUGGCGGAAUUUGUUUCUUUGUGGCUGAAUAACUGAGGGUUCCAGCUUCUAUUUGGUUGUUAGCUGGAUGCUGCCUUCAGGUCUUAGAAGGAGUUCCUCACCAUAUGGUCUUCUCCAUAGGCAGUUCACAACAUGCCUGUUUGCUUCUUCAAAGCCAAUGGAAGACACUCUAGCUCAGUUUUGCACAACAUAGUUUAAUCACGGCAAUAACAUUCUAUCGCCUUUGCUAUAUAAUAUAAUUUAAUCAAAAGAGUGAAUUCCCAUUGCCUUUGCCAUGUUUUAUUGGUUAGGAGUAAGCCACAAAUUCUGCCAAUGUUCAAAAAGAGAGGAUAAUAGGAGAGUAGGACUCAUUGGAAGUCAACCUAGGGUGUGUCUGCAAAGUUCAGAUGUGCUGUGUUUGAGGUGUUAGAGGAACCUUCUGGGGAAAAAGUCAUCACCAGUUAUAAACUAGACAGUGUACAUCUAGUAAGUUCUAUCCUUAGUGAACUUUUGAUAGCAAUUUGAAUUAAACCACUAUAUCCUCAUAAUACUCCUUUAUCCAGCUUGUGCUGGAUGUCUAUAAAAUCAAGAAGACUAAUCCUUACUAUGACAAUAAAAAAUGAAAUAAUAUUUGUCAGAUGGUGAUGAAAAUAAAACUUAAGAGAGGUAUGUAUGGUGUCACUCAGACAGGGCUAGAAAGCUUGAAGAUACAUGUUUAUUUCUUAAAGCCAAAGAUAAAAUAAUUUAAUUUUCUAAUCUGAAAAGCUCCAUAGCACAUAAAUUGGCAGCCUCUCAGCCAAAUAUCUCUUGGAAGAAGAUGUAAUACCUCCCACUACAUUUUAGCUUCUGAGCCAAUUUCCAUCUAACACACAGAAGUUAAUUCUGGUCAGCUCUCAGCAAAGUCUUGACCUUUGAACAUCACUGGAAAAUUGAAGGGAGAUUUAGAAACAGAGACAAUAUGCUAAAAAUUGGUGCUGAAUUACCACCCACUCCCUUUGUUUCCUUCCUCUCCUAUCCCUAAGUGACUAAAUAAAAUGAGCAUAGAUCAUCUACAUCUCGGAUUUAUGUGACCAAAUCUAUCAACAAAUCAAUACCAUCACUUGUGCAUAAAUUUACAGCUUUACUCUCCCUAUAUUUCACUUCUGGUGGCUUUGGCCAA
This is a long non-coding RNA of Hippopotamus amphibius kiboko, 1536 nucleotides long. RefSeq lists it as uncharacterized. The transcript has 3 exons. The record is from RefSeq and is a predicted model, not a curated record. NCBI's taxonomy places the organism in Eukaryota, Metazoa, Chordata, Mammalia, Artiodactyla, Hippopotamidae.